UGGGGUGUAGCUCAGUGGUACAGUGCUUGCCUAACAAAUGCAAGGCCCUGGGUUUGAUUCCCAGCAUUGCAA
RNAcentral lists this transfer RNA (72 nucleotides) under Ictidomys tridecemlineatus (thirteen-lined ground squirrel). RNAcentral's name for it is "Spermophilus tridecemlineatus (thirteen-lined ground squirrel) tRNA". It matches the Rfam family "tRNA". From Rfam's summary of the family: Transfer RNA (tRNA) molecules are approximately 80 nucleotides in length. The record is from Rfam by way of RNAcentral. Lineage: Eukaryota; Metazoa; Chordata; Mammalia; Rodentia; Sciuridae.